AGUGAACGCUGGCGGUAGGCCUAACACAUGCAAGUCGAACGGCAGCACAGGAGAGCUUGCUCUCUGGGUGGCGAGUGGCGGACGGGUGAGGAAUACAUCGGAAUCUACUCUGUCGUGGGGGAUAACGUAGGGAAACCUACGCUAAUACCGCAUACGACCUACGGGUGAAAGCAGGGGACCUUCGGGCCUUGCGCGAUUGAAUGAUCCGGUGUCGGAUUAGCUAGUUGGCGGGGUAAAGGCCCACCAAGGAGACGAGCCGUAGCUGUUCGGAGAGGAUGAGCAGCAACACUGGAACUGAGACACGGUCCAGACUCCUACGGGAGGCAGCAGUGGGGAAUAUCGGACAAUGGGCGCAAGCCUGAUCCAGCCAUACCGCGUGGGUGAAGAAGGCCUUCGGGUUGUAAAGCCCUUUUGUUGGGAAAGAAAUCCAGCUGGCUAAUACCCGGUUGGGAUGACGGUACCCAAAGAAUAAGCACCGGCUAACUUCGUGCCAGCCGCCGCAGUAA
This 506-nucleotide ribosomal RNA is filed under the name uncultured bacterium. RNAcentral describes it as "partial 16S ribosomal RNA". It matches the Rfam family "Bacterial small subunit ribosomal RNA", at positions 29 to 523 of the family's 1533-position model. The record is from RNAcentral.